Molecule: unclassified non-coding RNA, 336 nt
Filed under: soil metagenome
Description: partial contains 5.8S ribosomal RNA, internal transcribed spacer 2, and large subunit ribosomal RNA
Rfam family: 5.8S ribosomal RNA (bases 1-120)
Source: RNAcentral
GAUGAAGAACGUAGCGAAAUGCGAUAAGUAAUGUGAAUUGCAGAAUUCAGUGAAUCAUCGAAUCUUUGAACGCACAUUGCGCCCGCCAGUAUUCUGGCGGGCAUGCUUGUUCGAGCGUCAUUUCAACCAUCAAGCCCCAGGCUUGUGUUGGGGACCUGCGGCUGCCGCAGGCCCUGAAAACCAGUGGCGGGCUCGCUGUCACACCGGGCGUAGUAGAUUUUAUCUCGCUCAGGGCGUGCUGCGGGUCCCGGCCGUUAAAAGCCUUUUUUUACCCAAGGUUGACCUCGGAUCAGGUAGGAAGACCCGCUGAACUUAAGCAUAUCAAUAAGCGGAGGA